This 465-nucleotide ribosomal RNA is filed under the name uncultured bacterium. RNAcentral's name for it is "partial 16S ribosomal RNA". It matches the Rfam family "Bacterial small subunit ribosomal RNA", at positions 338 to 795 of the family's 1533-position model. The record is from RNAcentral.
CCUACGGGCGGCAGCAGUGGGGAAUAUUGCGCAAUGGGCGAAAGCCUGACGCAGCGACGCCGCGUGAGGGAUGAAGGUCUUCGGAUCGUAAACCUCUGUCAGCAGGGAAGAACGGUCACUGUGCUAAUCAGCAGUGAAUUGACGGUACCUGCAAAGGAAGCACCGGCUAACUCCGUGCCAGCAGCCGCGGUAAUACGGAGGGUGCGAGCGUUAAUCGGAAUUACUGGGCGUAAAGCGCUCGUAGGCGGUAUGUCAAGUCAAGGGUGAAAUCCCCGCGCUCAACGUGGGAACUGCCUUUGAAACUGGCAAACUGGAGUGUGUGAGAGGAUAGUGGAAUUCCAGGUGUAGGAGUGAAAGCCGUAGAUAUCUGGAGGAACAUCAGUGGCGAAGGCGACUAUCUGGCACAUAACUGACGCUGAAGCACGAAAGCGUGGGUAUCGAACAGGAUUAGAUACCCGGGUAGUC